This 423-nucleotide ribosomal RNA is filed under the name uncultured bacterium. Its description in RNAcentral is "bacterial SSU rRNA". It matches the Rfam family "Bacterial small subunit ribosomal RNA", at positions 358 to 773 of the family's 1533-position model. The record is from RNAcentral.
GGAAUAUUGGACAAUGGGCGAAAGCCUGAUCCAGCCAUUCCGCGUGAGUGAAGAAGGCCUUCGGGUUGUAAAGCUCUUUCGCAAGGGAAGAAAACUUAACCUCUAACAUAGGUUGAGGCUGACGGUACCUUGAUAAGAAGCACCGGCUAACUACGUGCCAGCAGCCGCGGUAAUACGUAGGGUGCGAGCAUUAAUCGGAAUUACUGGGCGUAAAGCGUGCGCAGGCGGCCUGAUAAGUCAGAUGUGAAAUCCCCGAGCUCAACUUGGGAACUGCGUUUGAAACUAUCAAGCUAGAAUAUGUCAGAGGGGGGUAGAAUUCCACGUGUAGCAGUGAAAUGCGUAGAGAUGUGGAGGAAUACCAAUGGCGAAGGCAGCCCCCUGGGAUAAUAUUGACGCUCAUGCACGAAAGCGUGGGGAGCAAAC